RNAcentral lists this ribosomal RNA (485 nucleotides) under uncultured Synergistales bacterium. RNAcentral describes it as "bacterial SSU rRNA". It matches the Rfam family "Bacterial small subunit ribosomal RNA", at positions 28 to 524 of the family's 1533-position model. The record is from RNAcentral. Lineage: Bacteria; Thermotogati; Synergistota; Synergistia; Synergistales.
GACGAACGCUGGCGGCGUGCUUAACACAUGCAAGUCGAACGGGAGAUAUAUGGAAUGAUCUGCUUGCGGAGAGUGAAAUAUAUCUUUAGUGGCGAACGGGUGAGUAACGCGUGAGGAUCUAUCCUUAGGUGGGGGACAACAGUUGGAAACGGCUGCUAAUACCCCAUAAGCCGGAAGGUGAAAGGAGCAAUUCGCCGAAGGAGGAACUCGCGUCCUAUCAGGUAGUUGGUGGGGUAAGGGCCUACCAAGCCGAAGACGGGUAGCCGGCCUGAGAGGGCGAACGGCCACACUGGAACUGAGAUACGGUCCAGACUCCUACGGGAGGCAGCAGUGGGGAAUAUUGGGCAAUGGGGGGAACCCUGACCCAGCGACGCCGCGUGGGUGAAGAAAUCCUUCGGGAUGUAAAGCCCUGUUGUAUGGGAAGAGUAGAAGACGGUACCAUACGAGGAAGCCCCGGCAAACUACGUGCCAGCAGCCGCGGUAAU